This 253-nucleotide ribosomal RNA is filed under the name uncultured bacterium. Its description in RNAcentral is "partial 16S ribosomal RNA". It matches the Rfam family "Bacterial small subunit ribosomal RNA", at positions 524 to 776 of the family's 1533-position model. The record is from RNAcentral.
UACAGAGGGUGCAAGCGUUAAUCGGAAUUACUGGGCGUAAAGCGUGCGUAGACGGUCAUGUAAGUCGGGUGUGAAAGCCCCGGGCUCAACCUGGGAAUUGCAUUCGAGACUGCAUGGCUAGGAUGCGGAAGAGGGAAGCGGAAUUUCCGGUGUAGCGGUGAAAUGCGUAGAUAUCGGAAGGAACACCAGUGGCGAAGGCGGCUUUCUGGACCGACACUGACGCUGAUGCGCGAAAGCUAGGGGAGCAAACGGG